AUCAGAAUUAAUUUUAUCUUGCACUGAAGUAUGUGGGAGGUAAUUCUGCAAAUCUCACAGGAAGCUCUAGAAUAUUUUUUUUGACAGAUAAGCAAAGACUCUUCUUAAUAAUAUAGCUAAAGAAGAUGGUAAAAGUAUCACUCCUUCACUCAGUGUACCAUAACUACUGUCAUUAUGGUUAUUACUUUUGGCGGAGCUCAAUUAACACUAACUGGGUCAUUUUCUAUAGUGAGAAUGUUUCGGUUUUCCAAUUGAAUUUCAAAUUGAAAGGCAAAUUGCUGAAUAGGAAAGAUUCUCCAAGUUUGCUAAACUUUCAGUUCAAGUGGUCUACAUUUUUAAAUUUACUUUGGAUCCCUACAAAUCUCGCUUUUGUGUAAAUAUUUACUGAAUGUAUUUUGUAAGGAGCAGGAGGGUGACCAACUUUACCUGCAAGUGGGUGGAUUUAGCACCACGACAGUUACAAUAUACUGUAUUAG
Non-coding RNA from Pelobates cultripes (western spadefoot toad), 476 nucleotides. The record is from the annotation of a GenBank genome assembly. NCBI's taxonomy places the organism in Eukaryota, Metazoa, Chordata, Amphibia, Anura, Pelobatidae.